AGCAGCCGCGGUAAUUCCAGCUCCAAUAGCGUAUAUUAAAGUUGUUGCAGUUAAAAAGCUCGUAGUUGAAUUUCGGGAUCAAUUUAUUGGUCGUGCUAUUGUACGUACUGGUAUUAUUGAUUCCUACCUUCUGACGAACCAUGAUGUCAUUAAUUUGGUGUCAUGGGGAAUCAGGACUGUUACUUUGAAAAAAUUAGAGUGUUUAAAGCAGGCUCACGCUUGAAUACAUUAGCAUGGAAUAACGAAAUAGGACGUUUGAUUCUAUUUUGUUGGUUUCUAGGAUCGACGUAAUGAUUAAUAGGGAUAGUUGGGGGCAUUAGUAUUCAAUUGUCAGAGGUGAAAUUCUUGGAUUUAUUGAAGACUAACUACUGCGAAAGCAUUUGCCAAGGAUGUUUUCAUUAAUCAAGAACGAAAGUUAGGAGAUCGAAGACGAUCAGAUACCGUCGUAGUCUUAACCAUAAACUAUGCCGACUAGGGAUCGGAUGAUGUUAAUUUUUAAUGUACUCU
RNAcentral lists this ribosomal RNA (507 nucleotides) under uncultured Glomus. Its description in RNAcentral is "SSU rRNA". It matches the Rfam family "Eukaryotic small subunit ribosomal RNA", at positions 569 to 1078 of the family's 1831-position model. The record is from RNAcentral. Lineage: Eukaryota; Fungi; Glomeromycota; Glomeromycetes; Glomerales; Glomeraceae.